This 458-nucleotide long non-coding RNA is filed under the name Gallus gallus (chicken). RNAcentral's name for it is "long non-coding RNA NONGGAT002282". The record is from RNAcentral. Lineage: Eukaryota; Metazoa; Chordata; Aves; Galliformes; Phasianidae.
CAAAGCUCCUGCAGCCUUAGUUGGAGUCCAUAAUGACGGGAGUCUUCCAGCUGUACACUCUGAGCUGAAAACUACCUUUCCUCCCCUUUUGCAGCCUGUGUGGUUCUGAUUGCUGGCAGUUCUCUAAUACAGCUUUAAUCUGAGCAGUUGAGGCUGGUCCCACCUUACCUUCAGACGUCUUGCGGAGGACUCCUGUUACCAGUUUGGUACUCAAAAGCUACACCCCACCAUGAGAAGUCAAUUAUUUUUUAAAAGGCAGUGAUAGAUUACUGUCUCUAGUUCUAAUGGAAAAAUUAUAUUGCAAUGCAACUUUAUAAUAAAUUGUUCAUAUAUUCAUAAUUCCGUGGCAAUCCCAAAUCGGAGGACGGAUCUGUUAAAGGUGUGCGUUUUUGAACAGUGUUGUUACAAGUCCCACCACCCCACUUUCACAUCAGCUUAUGCCAGUGCCAGGAUGGGAG